CUGAGGCUUAAUUAACAGACGACAUGCCCAUCCAUCACAUUUUUACAGGCGUCACACUCAAAACAGGCAGCAGCACCCUCCAUUCAACGGAGCAUACUACACCAACUGGUAUGCGUCAAAAGUAUGCUUAUCACUGAGGGUUGUGGUCAGGUGUGGAUUCUAGGACAGCAUUAUCAACAACAGGUGUCUUACCUUUGCUCCAGUGCGAAGCAGUGGUCAAGUAGAGAUUGCAGUAAAAGACAGAGAUGACCAGAAGCCUGACAGGUAGCACCCUGCCCAGCCUGGUCCCCUCCAUUCCUCUCUCUCUCCUUGCCUUACUGAGCUCUGGGUUCUGGUUCAGCUUUACAAAGCACUUAUGAGGGCCAAAGGUGCUGAACAGCAGCGGCGUGUCAAGCCCUCCAGGAAGACUACAGACAACUUACAGACUCCACCAACUCAGCAAUCUUCUGGCCUUUCUCAUUCUGUUUCUCUCUCUUCCUCCCUCUCUCUCUCUCUCUCUCUGAUACAAACAUGCUCACACACACACACACACGCCUCCUCAUGCGUGUGUGUGGAGUUGUGUCUCUGGCUGGUGUCUCGGCUUUCAUCUGGAAGUCAUUAGGACCCAGGGAGCCGCUCCUCCCGUCCUGGCAGCCCACAGCCGCAUCAGCUGCCUCAGAGCCCCUGGCCAGCACUUCAGAAAAAAACAGAUUCAUGAUGGCCUUUCUCUCUGAACGUAUACCAGCAUUCAGCGCUUUCAGCUCUCUGCCAGGGAAUAUACUGUCUGCUGUGCUGCUGCCAUGUUGUGAAGGAAUUCUCUCAGCGCUUUGCUUGGCUUGGCAUGCACACAUAGGCAGCAGACGCGAGCAACUGGAAGAAAAUGGAAAUAGAUUUGGAGUCACAUGAGCCUAUUCAUCAAGCUUUUGUGUUUUCAGAGAGCUUUUAGAUCUCCUCGUCUGUCAGCCUUUUCUCCUGAAAGGCGAACGGUCCCAAGAUUUUCAGUCCUACAGCCAAGACUACCAUUUUUAAAUCAUUGCCCUCCCUCCAGUCAAAGGCAAAGGAAUAAUACAAAUCUCGUGAGUACACUGGACGUGGAGCAGAUGGCUGGAUCAACGUGUGUCCAGCUGCAUGAGUAAUGAUACAUACCUCUGUCACUAAUACCUCAUCAGGACCACAAAUCCAUUUGAAACCAUGGGUGCCUUGACAGGUCUACUUUGAAACAUACAAAGUAGCAACCCCAGUGGCAGUGGAGGGAAAAUGGACCUGAAAGUUGAUGAUACAUACCUGGUUUUUAUUACAAAAUAACCUCGAGAGCCUCAGUUGGCUUCAGUUCCUAUCCAGAUGGUACCCCUUGAAGACCCUUUUACUCUAAUUGCAUAUGAUGCUUGGAUGUAGAUGGAGUGUAAAAUUGCUGGUAUUGAUACUCUGAAUGAGAGCUAUCAAAAGAAUUGUUAAUGACAUAGGCCUCCUAUCUAAGUCUAUUGAUCGUAAGAUGAAUUGAAGCAGGGAGGCCUCAUUAUUUGGAUAAUGUUUGAUGUGGUACAGAUACCAUAAACCACACAGAAAUAAGGGCAGAAUGAAGCAAGAGAGGCUCAUGUUUUCAUUAUUCAUGUGGGUCUGAUAUUUUAUAAUUGCGGUGUUAACUCACCCCUGCGUGCCCCUGUCUGCUUGGUGUUCUAAGAGAGAUUAAAGCAAAUGAGAAAGAGAAAAAAGACUUUGUAUUAUCUCCUGCUCAGCUCUUAUUUCUGAAUUAUUUGUAUCUAGGGAGUGUCAUUGUUAUGACUUGAA
Molecule: long non-coding RNA, 1767 nt
Organism: Alosa sapidissima (American shad)
Lineage: Eukaryota; Metazoa; Chordata; Actinopteri; Clupeiformes; Clupeidae
Exons: 5
Source: RefSeq, a predicted model, not a curated record